UUAUAUUCUUUACCAAUCUGUUUGUAUGGGAUUUUUGGUACUUCACUUGAAAAAUGAGUCCAAGGUACUGUGAUGUGAUUGUUUACUUUGUGUGGCCUUUCUAGCCAUGGUCUUAUAACAUCCACCCUGGUGCUUGGGCAGGACUGUGUGAUAGGGUAAUUGUGGCUCACCAAGAGGAUUGUUUAUUUUGCCUUCAAAGAGAACCAGUUCCAGAGCAAAGAGGAGGAUUCAACUCCCAUCAAGGAAGAACAGCCAAGAGCCGAGCGUAUAUUAUGGACCUGAGAUCCCUGCACUGAGAAGCUCCUAGAAGCAGGAGACUGAGAUAGAGAGAGGAAGCUGUAACCCUGAAGAUGCUUAAAUACAGACCAGAAGAGGAGUUUGGGGCUUGACACCUGACAUCUUAACACCAGUUCCUGUUUCUUGAGGAAGGAAGAGGUAAAAUAAAUCAGCGUUUGCUGUUUCCUUCUCCAUCCCCGGAAGUCCUGAUGAAGACCCUCUCAGGAGGGAAGAGGUAAAAAAGAAGGCAGUGUCUACUACGUCCUUUGCCAUGUGUGUCAGGAAAUCCUCACAAAGAGCCUCUCAGGUAAGGAGUGAUGGGAAAUGCCUUGGUUUACUCUUAAACUUUGCCCUUGAGGCAUUUUCUUUAUGGGGGCAUGUAAAAUGUUGUCCAUUCAAGGAAACACUGUAAUUCUUAUGUAGACUUUGUUUGUUGACAAGGAUUUAUUGCCAUAGCAAGGGUUCUGGAAAUGGGUUUAAUAUGCUGUGGGAUUGCUUUUGGAAGUUUGGAAAAGGCAACGGCCCACAUUCUAUGAAAUCGAAAUACCAGACCUACUGUGUCAGGUGUUGGAAGAGGGAAUAAAAGCCUCCAAUAUGUGGGCAUGUCUGAGUUAGUCUUCUAUAAGACCAUUUCUUGGAGGUCCUGAAGGACACCCAUUUCAUUAAAAGAAUAAGGAAUGUAGAGCUGAGGGGAGCACCAGCAACAUGGAGCUUACCAAUAUGUACCUUUGCAGGGGGUCCCUGGACGCCGCAAACAGUUAAGUGUUCUAUACUAGCUGAAAGUUUGGUGGUUUGAACCUACUCAAAAGCACCUCAGAAGACAGUCCUGACGAUCUGCUUUUAAAGGAUCACAGCCUUGAAAACCCUAUUGAACACUUCUACUAUGCCCACAUGGGGUGGUCAUGAGUCAGAAAUGACUUGAUGACAGCUAACAAGAACAAUUCUCUAUAGGCUCAGGUUUUAGUGGAGGCUGGGCUGCCAAGUAGCAAUGUAAAUCAUGGUAUCCCAGCUGAACAGAGGCCAGGUGGAAGUACUUAACUGUCAGAAACAAGUUGUGUGUAGAUUACCAUAAAGGUCAGUAGCUCAGAGUAUUAGUUAUCUAUUGGUGCAUAACAAAAUAUCCCCAAACUUAUCAGGUGUGAGAUAAAUGGAAAAAUAUUAAACCCAUUCUGAUAAAUUUGGAACUAGACAAAAAUUUUGGUAUUACUCAACAUAGUUUUUAGGUGAAGGAAUGAACUAGAAAAUUUAAAUAACUAGUACAAGUAUUAAAAGAUAUUUAAAAUAAUGAUGAUAUAAUUACAUACCUGCAUAAAAGACAAAUGCAUCAAAAUCAAUGGUUUCUCUCCAGUAUAGAAUAAGGGUCUAAAAUUGGCAAGGGUGGGAAGGGCAGACCGUUCUCUUUCCCCUACUACUUGACUGUACCACACUGUGUCCAAAACUGUAAAAUAUUUAGCAAAACAUUGUUUUAACCAGAGCAGCAAAGGACCUCUAUGAGGGAAGACAAUGUAUUAAAGUACAUAAAAUGAAACCUGAAUAUAUGCAAAAAUAUGCCAUAUUUUCAAAUGGAACG
Long non-coding RNA from Loxodonta africana (African savanna elephant), 1846 nucleotides. RefSeq lists it as uncharacterized. The transcript has 3 exons. NCBI's taxonomy places the organism in Eukaryota, Metazoa, Chordata, Mammalia, Proboscidea, Elephantidae. The record is from RefSeq and is a predicted model, not a curated record.